This 1349-nucleotide ribosomal RNA is filed under the name Escherichia coli. RNAcentral's name for it is "partial 23S ribosomal RNA". It matches the Rfam family "Bacterial large subunit ribosomal RNA", at positions 419 to 1769 of the family's 2925-position model. Lineage: Bacteria; Pseudomonadati; Pseudomonadota; Gammaproteobacteria; Enterobacterales; Enterobacteriaceae. The record is from RNAcentral.
GGGACACGUGGUAUCCUGUCUGAAUAUGGGGGGACCAUCCUCCAAGGCUAAAUACUCCUGACUGACCGAUAGUGAACCAGUACCGUGAGGGAAAGGCGAAAAGAACCCCGGCGAGGGGAGUGAAAAAGAACCUGAAACCGUGUACGUACAAGCAGUGGGAGCACGCUUAGGCGUGUGACUGCGUACCUUUUGUAUAAUGGGUCAGCGACUUAUAUUCUGUAGCAAGGUUAACCGAAUAGGGGAGCCGAAGGGAAACCGAGUCUUAACUGGGCGUUAAGUUGCAGGGUAUAGACCCGAAACCCGGUGAUCUAGCCAUGGGCAGGUUGAAGGUUGGGUAACACUAACUGGAGGACCGAACCGACUAAUGUUGAAAAAUUAGCGGAUGACUUGUGGCUGGGGGUGAAAGGCCAAUCAAACCGGGAGAUAGCUGGUUCUCCCCGAAAGCUAUUUAGGUAGCGCCUCGUGAAUUCAUCUCCGGGGGUAGAGCACUGUUUCGGCAAGGGGGUCAUCCCGACUUACCAACCCGAUGCAAACUGCGAAUACCGGAGAAUGUUAUCACGGGAGACACACGGCGGGUGCUAACGUCCGUCGUGAAGAGGGAAACAACCCAGACCGCCAGCUAAGGUCCCAAAGUCAUGGUUAAGUGGGAAACGAUGUGGGAAGGCCCAGACAGCCAGGAUGUUGGCUUAGAAGCAGCCAUCAUUUAAAGAAAGCGUAAUAGCUCACUGGUCGAGUCGGCCUGCGCGGAAGAUGUAACGGGGCUAAACCAUGCACCGAAGCUGCGGCAGCGACACUAUGUGUUGUUGGGUAGGGGAGCGUUCUGUAAGCCUGUGAAGGUGUGCUGUGAGGCAUGCUGGAGGUAUCAGAAGUGCGAAUGCUGACAUAAGUAACGAUAAAGCGGGUGAAAAGCCCGCUCGCCGGAAGACCAAGGGUUCCUGUCCAACGUUAAUCGGGGCAGGGUGAGUCGACCCCUAAGGCGAGGCCGAAAGGCGUAGUCGAUGGGAAACAGGUUAAUAUUCCUGUACUUGGUGUUACUGCGAAGGGGGGACGGAGAAGGCUAUGUUGGCCGGGCGACGGUUGUCCCGGUUUAAGCGUGUAGGCUGGUUUUCCAGGCAAAUCCGGAAAAUCAAGGCUGAGGCGUGAUGACGAGGCACUACGGUGCUGAAGCAACAAAUGCCCUGCUUCCAGGAAAAGCCUCUAAGCAUCAGGUAACAUCAAAUCGUACCCCAAACCGACACAGGUGGUCAGGUAGAGAAUACCAAGGCGCUUGAGAGAACUCGGGUGAAGGAACUAGGCAAAAUGGUGCCGUAACUUCGGGAGAAGGCACGCUGAUAUGUAGGUGAAGUCCC